RNAcentral lists this ribosomal RNA (253 nucleotides) under uncultured bacterium. RNAcentral describes it as "partial 16S ribosomal RNA". It matches the Rfam family "Bacterial small subunit ribosomal RNA", at positions 524 to 776 of the family's 1533-position model. The record is from RNAcentral.
UACGUAGGGUGCGAGCGUUAAUCGGAAUUACUGGGCGUAAAGGGCGCGCAGGCGGCUCAUUUUGUCAGGCGUGAAAGCCCCGGGCUUAACCUGGGAACUGCGCUUGAGACGGGUGGGCUAGAGAUCGGGAGAGGAGAGUGGAAUUCCCAGUGUAGAGGUGAAAUGCGUAGAUAUUGGGAAGAACACCGGUGGCGAAGGCGGCUCUCUGGACCGAUACUGACGCUGAGGCGCGAAAGCGUGGGGAGCAAACAGG